Molecule: ribosomal RNA, 460 nt
Filed under: uncultured bacterium
Lineage: Bacteria
Description: partial 16S ribosomal RNA
Rfam family: Bacterial small subunit ribosomal RNA
Source: RNAcentral
CCUACGGGUGGCAUCAGUGAGGAAUAUUGGUCAAUGGACGAGAGUCUGAACCAGCCAAGUAGCGUGAAGGAUGACUGCCCUAUGGGUUGUAAACUUCUUUUAUAUGGGAAUAAAACGUUCCACGUGUGGGAUUUUGUAUGUACCAUAUGAAUAAGGAUCGGCUAACUCCGUGCCAGCAGCCGCGGUAAUACGGAGGAUCCGAGCGUUAUCCGGAUUUAUUGGGUUUAAAGGGAGCGUAGGUGGAUUGUUAAGUUAGUUGUGAAAGUUUGCGGCUCAACCGUAAAAUUGCAGUUGAAACUGGCAGUCUUGAGUACAGUAGAGGUGGGCGGAAUUCGUGGUGUAGCGGUGAAAUGCUUAGAUAUCACGAAGAACUCCGAUUGCGAAGGCAGUUCACUGGACUGCAACUGACACUGAGGCUCGAAAGUGUGGGUAUCAAACAGGAUUAGAUACCCCAGUAGUC